CCAUAAACACUUGCUGAAGAAUGAACGGGUGCCCCUCCGUCAGGGGAGGAAACAGGCCCAGGCAGUUCCCUAAGGCCCUCUCUGCCUUAGCCGCAAGGAGAGAGAAGCCAUGUACUCGUGCUGAGUGUCAGCUCUACUCGGGGCCAUCUGCAGCAACGUGAUUUGAUAUGAAAAUACCUGUGGUUUUCAACUGGAGAUAAAGUCACAAGUCCUGCUGUUGCCUUCGUUCAUAAUUAAGGAAAUGGUGAAAAAACUGAGACACGGAGAAAAAGAACAGAAUGGAGCAUCCUGGCUUCCGUGGGAAACCCUGGGCUGCAGAUGGAUACAUUUAACCACCUGCAGACAGGUGUGGUUGGCCCGCUCGCUUCUUCGACAAGACAAGGACAACCUUCCAGUUUAGGUCUAUGAUCCUAUCCAACCUCUCGUCCUCCUGUGCCGGGGAGGACAGCUCUCCACGUGGGUGCCCAUUUUUUUCAGUCCUGCACACGUGUACAUGAAUCCGUGAAUGUGACAUUUCGUAUUCCUCAGUCUGGUUUGGCUUUUUUUCUGACAUCCGCCAGAAGUCAGCCAACUUUUUUUCUGUAAAGGACCAGAUAGUAAAUAUCGUUGUUACAACCACUCCGUGCUACAGUUGCAGCUUGAAAGGGGUCACAGGUGAUACAUCAAGAAAUGAUCACGGCUGUGUCGUGUCAGUAAAACUUUAUUUACAAAACCAGGCGGCGGGCCGGACAAUGGCUGUAGUCAGCCGACUUGACAUGGAUGGUGUAUUUAGCUUUAUUCUAUCAAUGUCUCUUAACAUGUUUCUAAUCCAAUAUAUGUAACCCCAUUUUUUUUCAUUAAAAAGUAUUGGGGGACAUUAAUAACCAUUUUUUAAGCGGGUUAUGUCUAAGCAUGACUGUGUCACGACUUAUUGAGUCCCCCGUCGUGGGAUGUGCCGGCUGCUUCACUGUUCCCCCAAACAGGCGUCAUUACCUGACAAGUCAGGAACACAGUACGGGGUGAGCGGAAGCCCGAGUGCUGGGUUUGAAUCCUUACUCUGACACUUACCAGCUGUGAGGUGGGGCCGAGGGUGAGCCCUGUGAGUUGUGCCUCGGUUUCCCUUUGUGACGUGGAGAUAUCAGCAUCUGCCCACAGGGUUUCUGUAGGGUAGCUCUCGAGAAGGGAAACUUCUGGGACUUCUCCCACGUGGAGAAGAUGCAUUCUCGCUCUUGCUAAAUAUUGGCCAUCAUUCUCCAGACCAGCGCUCCCUGUUUGCACUCCCACCAGAAGUGAACAAAGGGCUCACUUCCCCCGUCCACCACCGAAUGUUACUUUCACUUCUAAAAUUUGCAUUUGAAGUAUAAUUCAUAGGUGCUAAAGUGCAUAAAUCUUAAACGGACAGCUCAGUGGACUUUUGCAAAAGCACGUACUCUUCGUAGCCACCACCCAGAUCAUUUCCAGGCCCCAGGAGUCCCGCUGGCCCCUUCAUUAGCCCCUGGCCGACUGCUAUUCAGACUUCUCUCAUGAUAGUUUAGUUCCAUCUGUCUCAAAACUUCAUUGACGUUUCACUCGCGAUCAUGCCUGUGAGUUUCAUCCACGUAAUUACAAAUACUGGUAAUUUAUCCUUGUUCCUUGUUACAUAAUAUUCCACAGAGUGACUGCCCACUUCGCUUCUCUGGAUGUGCACUUGGGUAGUGUUCCAGUUGGGGGCUGUUCCGAAUAAAGCUGCCGUGAACAUCUGCUCAGAUUUAGCGUGGGUAUGAACCCAAUAACAGGGCUGCUGAGACACUGGGGAGUAUCCCACGUGUUGCUU
This is a long non-coding RNA of Pteropus alecto (black flying fox), 1792 nucleotides long. RefSeq lists it as uncharacterized. The record is from RefSeq and is a predicted model, not a curated record. The transcript is spliced from 3 exons. NCBI's taxonomy places the organism in Eukaryota, Metazoa, Chordata, Mammalia, Chiroptera, Pteropodidae.